AGAUUGAACGCUGGCGGCAGGCCUAACACAUGCAAGUCGAGCGGCAGCACGGGUACUUGUACCUGGUGGCGAGCGGCGGACGGGUGAGUAAUGCCUAGGAAUCUGCCUGAUAGGUGGGGGAUAACGUUCGGAAACGGACGCUAAUACCGCAUACGUCCUACGGGAGAAAGUGGGGGAUCUUCGGACCUCACGCUAUCAGAUGAGCCUAGGUCGGAUUAGCUAGUUGGUAGGGUAAAGGCCUACCAAGGCUACGAUCCGUAACUGGUCUGAGAGGAUGAUCAGUCACACUGGAACUGAGACACGGUCCAGACUCCGUACGGGAGCAG
Molecule: ribosomal RNA, 326 nt
Filed under: uncultured soil bacterium
Lineage: Bacteria
Description: bacterial SSU rRNA
Rfam family: Bacterial small subunit ribosomal RNA
Source: RNAcentral